Molecule: ribosomal RNA, 1487 nt
Filed under: uncultured Bordetella sp.
Lineage: Bacteria; Pseudomonadati; Pseudomonadota; Betaproteobacteria; Burkholderiales; Alcaligenaceae
Description: partial 16S-23S ribosomal RNA intergenic spacer
Rfam family: Bacterial small subunit ribosomal RNA
Source: RNAcentral
AGUUCGAUUCUGGCUCAGAUUGAACGGCUGGCGGGAUGCUUUACACAUGCAAAUGAACGGCAGCACUGACCGCUCUCGGUCUGGUGGCGAGUGGCGAACGGGGUGAGUAAUGUAUCGGAACGUGCCUAGUAGCGGUGAUACCUUACGCGAAAGGUAGCUAAUACCGCACACGGCCCUUCGGGGAAAGCGGGGACCUUCGGGCCUCAAUUAUUAGAGCGCUUGAUAUCGGAUUAGCUAGGCUGGUGGCAACGGCUCACCAAGGCGACGAUCCGUGGCUGGUUUGAGAGGACGACCAGCCACACGGGACCGAGACACGGCCCAGACUCCUACGGGAGGCAGUGGGGAAUUUUGGACAAUGGGGAAACCCUGAUCCAGCCAUCCCGCGUGCGAUGAAGGCCUUCGGGUUGUAAGCACUUUUGGCAGGAAAGAAACGGGCAGACGGAGAAUAUCUCGUGCAACUGACGGUAUCAGAGAAGGCACCGCUAACUACGUGCCAGCAGCCGCGGUAAUACGCAGGGCAAGCGUUAAUCAAUACUGGGCGUAAAGCGUGCGCAGGCGGUUCGGAAAGAAAGAUGUGAAAUCCCAGAGCUUAACUUUGGAACUGCAUUUUUAACUACCGAGCUAGAGUGUGUCAGAGGGAGGGAAUUCCUGCGUGUAGCAGUGAAAUGCGUAGAUAUGCGGAGGAAUACCGAUGGCGAAUACAGCCCUGGGAUAACACUGACGCUCGGCGCACGAGCGGGAGCAACAGGAUUAGAUACCCCGGUAGUCCUACGCCCCAAACGAUGUCAACUAGCUGUUGGGGCCUUUCGGGCCUUGGAAGGCAGCUAACGCGUGAAGUUGACCGCCUGGGGAGUACGGCUGCAAGAUUAAAAACCUCAAAGGAAUUGACGGGACCUGCAAGCAAGCGGCGGAUGAUGUGGAUUAAUUCGAUGCAACGAAAAACCUUACCUACCCUUGACAUGUCUGGAAUCCCGAAGAGAUUUGGGAGUGCUGCAAGAGAACCGGAACACAGGUGCUGCAUGGCUGCUGUCAGUUCGUGUCGUGAGAUGUUGGGUUAACCUGCAACGAGCUGCAACCUCGGUCAUUAGUUGCUACGAAAGGGCACUCAUCGAGACUGCCGGUGACAAACCGGAGGAAGGUGGGGAUGACGUCAAGUCUCAUGGCCCUUGCAGGUAGGGGCUUCGCUAUCGCCACAAUGGUCGUGACAGGGUCGCCGUCUGCAGUGGGAGCUAACUUGCAAACCCGAUCGUAGUCCGGAUCGCAGUCUGCAACUCGGACUGCGUGAAGUUUGGAACGCUAGUAAUCGCGGAUCAGCGUCGCGGUGAAUACGUUCCCGGGUCUUGUACACACCGCCCGUCACAUUCAUGGGAGUGGGUUUUACCGAAGUAGUUAGCCUAACCGUAAGGAGGGCGAUUACCACGGUAGGAUUCAUGACUGGGUGAAGUCGUAACAAGGUAGCUCUGUUACUACCUUAGGCGAUGCUCCUG